AGUGCAGGCUGUUUAAGGACGCGCUUGUCAUCAGUAGCCUGGCUCUUUCUCCCACUGCAGGCCAACAGCAGAGUGUAGGAUCACAGUUUAUUAAGAAGUGGAAAUGAGAGAAAGGAACAAGAAUCCAUAUUGAUUAGAAAAGAAGAAGAGGUCCUGCUCUGGGAAGGACACUGGAUGUAAAGGAUGUCCGAGUAGCCAAGCCCUGGCUAAUCCCAGGGUAUACCUUCCUUUUCUCAUCGCCCAGUAUACAUACAUCACUGAGCUGGAAGACAUAUUUUCAGACCCAGAAUCCUUAUAUCUCAAUCUGUCCAAAUGGUACCAAACUUGUGGAUCAAAGGCAAAGCAAGGUGAGCUUCUGGAGGCCUGGCACAGGACAUGAUCAUUCACACUGGGGCAAGCAAACCGCCAUGCUGCCAGCAGCUCUACAGAAAGGCCCAUGUGGCAUGGCGAGGAAUUGAGACCCUCAGCCCAAGAGCCUAUGAGGAACUGAGACUUGCCAGCUUCCCCAUGACUAAGCUUAGGAGGGAAUCCUUCACUCCAGCUGAGUCUUGAAAUGACUGCAGCCCCAGCGGACAGCUUUAUUGCAGCAUUACGAGACACCCUGAGCAGGCAUCUCCCAGCUCAGCUGCGCCUGGAACCCUGGCUCACAGAACUGUGAGAUAAUAAAGGUUUGUUGUUUUAAGCU
Manis javanica (Malayan pangolin) is the source of this 685-nucleotide non-coding RNA. The record is from RefSeq and is a predicted model, not a curated record. Lineage: Eukaryota; Metazoa; Chordata; Mammalia; Pholidota; Manidae.